CCUACGGGGGGCAGCAGUAGGGAAUCUUCCACAAUGGGCGCAAGCCUGAUGGAGCAACACCGCGUGAGUGAAGAAGGGUUUCGGCUCGGAAAGCUCUGUUGUUGGAGAAGAAAGUGCGUGAGAGUAACUGUUCACGCAGUGACGGUAUCAAACCAGAAAGUCACGGCUAAAUUCGUGCCAGCAGCCGCGGUAAUACGUAGGUGGCAAGCAUUAUCCGGAUUUAUUGGGCGUAAAGCGAGCGCAGGCGGUUGCUUAGGUCUGAUGUGAAAGCCUUCGGCUUAACCGAAGACGUGCAGCGGAAACCGGGCGACUUGAGUGCAGAAGAGGACAGUGGAACUCCAUGUGUAGCGGUGGAAUGCGUAGAUAUAUGGAAGAACCCCAGUGGCGAAGGCGGCUGUCUGGUCUGCAACUGACGCUGAGGCGCGAAAGCGUGGGUAGCAAACAGGAUUAGAUACCCUAGUAGUC
This 465-nucleotide ribosomal RNA is filed under the name uncultured bacterium. RNAcentral's name for it is "partial 16S ribosomal RNA". It matches the Rfam family "Bacterial small subunit ribosomal RNA", at positions 338 to 795 of the family's 1533-position model. The record is from RNAcentral.